Long non-coding RNA from Triticum dicoccoides, 1000 nucleotides. RefSeq lists it as uncharacterized. NCBI's taxonomy places the organism in Eukaryota, Viridiplantae, Streptophyta, Magnoliopsida, Poales, Poaceae. The transcript is spliced from 4 exons. The record is from RefSeq and is a predicted model, not a curated record.
ACUCCAAAACCUGGCAAGUUCAUGGUAAAAACAAAAAAAAGACAGAAAAGGUACAAUUUAUUUUCAGUGUACCUAUAAUGUCCAAUUUUUCUUUCAGCUCAAUUCCUAGAUUUCAUUCACUUCAAUUCUUAUGUAGGUACUUGGUGGUGGCAUUGCUUCACUUCCCUUGGUAUGCUCUCUUCGCCCAAGUUCCGAGAAUCAAGAAAAAAAAUACUAGUGCUUGCAUGAAUAUGAGCAAAAAAAACCACAAAGGCCUUUGCGUAGAAACAUCACCUCCACACCACCUCCAUUCAUGCGUAGUACAUGCUUCUCCUGCCGCCCCACCACCUGGAUCCAACGAGGCUGCGUCACACUGGCCCCGGAUCCGCCCGCUUCCAAUGAGGCUGCGUCACCCGCCGGCGCACCUCUGCCUCGCCGUGGGCAGUGGAUGCUCCUCCACAGCUCAACCUCCUGGUAGCGGGUAGUUCGAUGCUCCCUGUCGCGCUACGAGCAGCGCUCCCUUGAGCUCCACAAGAAAUUCUUUCCGGCUGCGUCUGCACCUCUGAAAAGGCCUGGUGUUUAGUUGGUGUCUGUGUGGUACCUACACCAGCAUUUUCCAUCAAGACCUCUAGAAAGAGAGAUCAUCUCAAGGUGGUUCAAAUGUGUCGAGUGGCAGCAUCGCUUGAUCCCUAGUGGUUGCCCGCGCAAGGAGGAUACAGGGACGCUACAGUGGUGGAGGAGUCAGUACAUGUAGUAGCUAUCUCAAGAAAAGCCAGCGGCCUGCUCUGGCCAUGCCGCACCACCACUGGCACGUCCACCAUGGUUGCUGGCAGCCGUCCAAGUUGAGCGCUGAUGGGAGUCCUUAGCAUGCUUCAACGACACUCUCUCAUAUCAAUCUCUCUCUUUCUUUGCUCCUGCUAUUAAAAUGUGUAGAUGUGCUGCUUUGCUAAUUGAGUAGUUGGGAAGAUGUGAAAAGAACAUGCUCUCUAGGUGUGUGAUUAUUCCUGUGAGAACAAAUGUA